Molecule: ribosomal RNA, 497 nt
Filed under: uncultured bacterium
Lineage: Bacteria
Description: partial 16S ribosomal RNA
Rfam family: Bacterial small subunit ribosomal RNA
Source: RNAcentral
GAUGAACGCUGGCGGCGUGCCUAAUACAUGCAAGUCGAGCGAACAGACGAGGAGCUUGCUCCUCUGACGUUAGCGGCGGACGGGUGAGUAACACGUGGAUAACCUACCUAUAAGACUGGGAUAACUUCGGGAAACCGGAGCUAAUACCGGAUAAUAUAUUGAACAGCAUGGUUCAAUAGUGAAAGACGGUUUUGCUGUCACUUAUAGAUGGAUCCGCGCCGCAUUAGCUAGUUGGUAAGGUAACGGCUUACCAAGGCAACGAUGCGUAGCCGACCUGAGAGGGUCAUCGGCCACACUGGAUCUGAGACACGGUCCAGACUCCUACGGGAGGCCGCAGUAGGGACUCCUACGCAAUGCGCGAAAGCCUGACGGAGCAACGCCGCGUGAGUGAUGAAGGUCUUCGGAUCGUAAAACUCUGUUAGUAGGGAAGAACAAAUGUGUAAGUAACUAUGCACGUCUUGACGGUACCUAAACAGAAAGCCCCGGCUAACUACGUG